AGCGCCGCGUCUCCACAGCCGCCGCCGGCUCUAGGCUCCACUCGCCUGGCUGCGCGCUCUACGCUCUCUCGCUCUCUCCCUCCCUCGCCGACCUCUCCCUCCACUUGCGUUCUGGCUUCCCCGCGCCUGGGUCUCGGCUGUUUCCAAGCUUCUCUGUGACUCCGAUCGACUUCGUUCGUCACCACCCCCUCCCACGACUCACCUCCCUUUUUUUCUCCCCCUCCCUUCACUGCUCCCAGACCGCCCCCCCCCUCCACUUCUCCCCCGCCCCAGCAAGUUUGGAGUAGGAGAGGAAACUGAGCUUAAAGGGACCCAAUGGGACGAAGGGGGCUCACGAAGGUGCCCUCCCCAUCCCCGUGGCUUGCAUGCCCCCGACUGGAGCGCACUCUGGGCAACCGACGCUGUCAGGUGUGGUGGGGACUCCGCGCUCCGCGUUUUGCAGCCUGCCGCGGCGUCGGAGGCGAGGAAGGGAGCUGGAAUAACAAAGGCAAGUUGGGGAGAGCGCAAGGGGGCGCAGCCCUGACCGGGCUGCGGGGGGGAACCCAGCUUGGCCCUGGCUUCGGAGGCUGCGGGGUCUCGGGUGCCAGGAGCGGGUGGAGAUGGGAUGGGUGGGGGGGGAGAAGUGUGUGGGCGAGGGGCGGGGCCCAGGCGUGACGUCAGAGAACAAUGACACCGCCGGGGGGCGGGCACCGAGAGGCAGCCGGGGCGGGGGUCUCCCCGGGGGCCCAAGACCAGCGGAAGACGUCCUGCCCGGGCCCGGCUGCUGCCUGAUUGACGAGGCCCGCUGGGGAGCGCGGACGUGCCACGCAGACUCCCGGGAUCGCCCGGGCCUCCUGGGCAUUGACCAGCGCCGACCGACGCGGGGACCCGGCCGGAGGAGUACUCCCCAUUUUUCGUCCCCCCAUUUUAGAACAUCCUUCCGAGGGUUUCUCUGACCUCGGCUUGAACUCCUUCCGAGCCGGCGAGAUCACUCCUUACGCCGCCGAGGGAGAGGAGGCACAAUGCAUUUGCCAGCCCUGAAUGCAUUCUCAAGGCUACGGGUAGCGGACUCAGCCUGGAUUCCCGAGGGCUCAGAGAACUGCGGCUCAGGUCCACUGGGUGUGGGGUGUGUGAGUGGGGGGAAAGCCUGUUCCAUUUCCCCAGGGGAAAUCCUGGCUCCCUAGGCCUUGGAUGAAAGGGAAGGCUUCUCCUCUCUGGGCCUCAGUCUUUUGGCCUGUCAUUCGGACUGGCUGCCCUUUCUGCUCCUGGGGGGGGGGGGGGGUCCGGAAGCGCUUCUAGACCUCUAGGGAGAAACUAGGAGGCAUUGAUCUCAGCCCAGUCCCUUAGGAGUGAGCUUCUCCCUGGCAGCCUGGAUGGAUGGCCCCGGGAAGCUGAGGGGCCAGGAGACCUGAGAAGCAGUAGCAAGCCAGACUAUAGGCUGGAGAGUGAGGAUACAGCUCAGUGAAUGGUGGCUGGAACCACUGCAGUCUGCACUCUGUCUGCACUCUCCUAGCAAUUCAUAGUUUUGCAGCAGCCAGAAAAUCACCUCCCCACACCAGGCCUACAGCCUCUGGAUGGAGUGUCAGGACCUGCUGGAGGGGUGAGAAGCCAGUUCCAGCCAAGAACUAGAGCCACCCUGUUGCCACCAUCGCUUAGGUCAGAAUGCUCUGCGCUCUCAGGAAGUGGGGAGAUGCAGGUGACCUUAGGGGUGAACACGCACAUCCCAAAAUUCCUGACCAGAGGAUACCUGUCUCCUGCUCCCAGUCCUCUGGAUACCAGGAAGCAGCUACAGAGCACAGAGGGGACAAGCCCCACACAAGCAGCAGUUCCUGCAGUGUGGAGCCAGAGCCAGGGAAGCUGCAGCUCUUCCCAGCUGAGCAGGCAUGGGUGGUACUUGAUGGCUGCAAAGCUGGGGAAUCUCACCUGAACUCUUCCCUGGGACCCAGGGCUCCAGUUCCUCCUACUUCUGCCUUUGCCAUUUUUAUUUAUCUUUCAGAGAGGUAACAAAGCAGGCUGGAUCUCUGUGAGGUCUUGGAAGAAGCUUGGCGCCUACUGUGUGUUGGGAAGUGGAGUGAGAGCCUCUUAGGUGUUGGUUCAUUAAAAGUUCACACAGCCUCAGAUUAGGUGCUGUUAUCAUUCCCUCCUUUAAAGAAAACUGCACAGUGAGUGACUUGUCCAGAGUCAAUUAGGAUCAAACUCAGGCCCUCAUUAACAAAGUUUCCUGGUGGUCUCUUAGCCCCAGCUGCACAGCCUUAUUCUAUAGGCUCUCUGUAUGGCUCUGGGCUAUUUUUCUCCCCUCUCUGGGACUCUGUAAACCAAGGGCAAAGUCUCUUGGUAGUGGUUAGGCUUCUUUAGAGAGGUGUGUUCCUACUACCCCCACUCCUUCUCCACCUCUCAGCCUUGACCUCUGUGGCUCUGGAGGUCUAGGGGCAGGGGCGGUGGGGAGGAGGGAUAAAGCAGAGAGGAAAGUGCUCUCAUUUCCCAGCCACUGAGAACUGGAAGAUGGCUCCUGCUUGGCUAAUGCAGGUUCAUAAAUCACCUGGCUCCAGAUGCGGCUUCAGGGCCUGUUUGCAUGUGUGGGCAGCAUGGAGCUGGCUUGUGGGUACCAAGACAGGGUCAGCCUGCACCACUUUCAGAGCAGACUCAAGUGACAAUGCCAUCAGCUCAACAGAAGGCCACUGCUUUGGCCUAGUCCUUUGGGAGGUGCAAAGUGGAGGCUCAGCAUGGGGCAUGGUGUUUCAGGCUGGUAGGCAGGGGGCCCCCAGCUGUCUGGGUAGGGGGAGCAACAUGGGGAAUGGUACUUGUGGGGGUGGAUUCAUACUUCUUCAGACUGUGUGUGUGUGUGUGUGUGUGUGUGUGUGUGUCUCCACAGAAGGACCUAGGGACACCUAACAUCGGGACCAAAGGAGCAGAGUGGUCAUGUUUGUUGAACACUUACUGUAUGCCCAAGUAAGCACUGUUUAUAUGCUGACAAGAAAACAUUACAUAGAUUCCCUUCAUCCUCCCACACAUAUUUCACCUCCCCCCAAAAAAAUACUCAGAGAAGUUGAGUGGCCUGCAGCCUGUCCAGUGGGUGUGGCUGAACUUGCUUCCAGUUCUGGACUGGGCACAGGGUGAGAAAGGGGACCUACCUUCAUCUCAUCACCAGUUCUCAGUGCACACAGGUUAUCUUUGGGGGUAAUCUGGGGUGGUGCAGACCCUCUCCAACUUGGGGGGAAUGAAUGACCAGGAUCCCUCCCAUAGUGGCACUGGGUCUCCGCCCAGCUAUGAUUGGGACCCAUGCCUUUGGGGAUGAAUGGCUGGGCCCUGCAGAAAGCAAAUGUGCUGCCUCCCCAUAUUCCUAUAAAAUAAGGCCCUUCAUUCUGAGGCCACACCCUCCAGGCCCCUGAUAAUCCCUCAGCUGACCCAGGUGCUCUCUCCUGCUGUGCUGCCUUCUCUGUCUCCAUUAGUCCUGGAGCUCUGCCCUUUGCUUCCAGAGUCACCAACACAGCCAGCAGCCAAAGCCUUGUCCAAAUGGAAGACCCUAACAGAGCAGACUGAGCAGUGGCCUCAGCAUCUGGGACACCUGCCCAGCCAGCCCACCAUGGCCCAAUGGCUUGAGCACAUCUCAGACUUUCUGUGGGUCUCCAUUUUCCCAUUUGUCAAGUGAGACAGUGUGGCAUACAUACAGGAUGCCCCAUGGGAGCAUCUGCUUGUCCUGUGAGUCCUUCUGCCCUUGAAUUAAAUUACUCUAGAGUUGGAGGGGAUCUUGCUUUGAGGAGGAGUGUUCUCAGAAGCCCCAUCUCAUCAGGUAGGGACAGGAAUGGCCUGUCCAGGCCUGUGAAUAGGUAAUGGCCUUCCACUUCCCUCAGCAGGGACCUUUUAUAGGUGACACUAAGCCCCAAUGGGAUCCGUGGCCACAUGAUGAGGGAGUGUCAGAACUGGAACAAGAACCAGGUCCUCUAACUCAGGGCCUCUCACCUGUCCCAGUGACCAGGGAAGCCACCUGGGAGCUAAAGUGACAAACACUGCUCUGGGGUGAGUCUGGGACAAGUGACCAGGGGAGGUUAGAGCAUUCCACCUUCUUUCUGAUAGCUCCUGCACCUGUGGUAGGGAUUGGUGGGGGUUGUGGUAGAGUUCCCUUCCAUUCUGGUACUAGGGAGGAAUUGGGGGUGGUGGUGGGGGAAGAAGACCUCAGAGUCUGAAUAUCUUCCCUUCUCACCUGGACCACAGCUUUCUGGUUUCAAGACUCAACCUCCCACCCUCACCCUAGCCCUGUCAUUUUGAGUGGCUUCCAGAACAGUGAGCUUUAUAUAAUGCUCUUAGCUCCUGGGACACACGCCUAGGGACCUUUGAGGCUGUGUCUGCAGCCACCUGCUCCAAAGCCUACUGUGAUAACCAGCAGAGGAGCUGUCUCCCUGGCCUCCCCCUAAUGCCACUGUACCUCCUCUUUCUCCAGCAGCAGCAGCAGCAUGGACGUUAUGUCCUUACUAUGUGCCAGGCUCUGAGGCUCCUGCACACAGGCACGAAUCCUCUGCACCCCUUGGGAACUGAUUAGUAAUUAUAUUAACUUAGCCAUUUUUCAGAUGAGUAAACCAAGGCACAGAGCAUUUCUUUUGUCCAGUGUGACUUGUUAUUAGCCAGGCAGGUUGCCACCUCCCUAACCAAACUGUAGGCAGUAGGAUGAUUUACUGUUCUAUUACCCUGCACAGCACCCGAGUGACUGCUAGGCAGUCAGGUGCAGUGAAGGGACCAUACAGCUCUCCAGGAGCUUGUAAGCCCACACUCAAUACUACUUCGAAAGUUUUGGGGGUAGGGAGAAGUGUUAGCACAGAAUGGAAUCUGGAAGGCAAGCUCUGCUGGGGAACUGUGGAGGAACAGGUCAGAGUAAGGAAUGAAGCUGCCCUAGGUCACACAGCAGCAAGAGGCCUUAGCAGGACUGGGGCCUUGGGGUCCCAGAAUGAUGUUCCUUCUUGCUCCUGGCAGCUGGCCCUGGGGGCCCUGCAUCUUGUGUUUUUUCUCAAAGACACACAGCCUCAGGCACCUCCACUAUGCUGAGCUUUUCAAUGAGUGGCUCAGUCCUUCUCUCCCCUCUAUUAAAAUUAAAAAGAAGAAAGAGACCCAGGCAUUGUUCCUGACUACAGCUGGUGCCAACUAGAAUCCUGCUGAACAGAAAGAAGUGGGGAGUCAGGCCACCCAGGGGUCUGGCUGCUGACACAAGGCCUUUCUAUUUUCUUUCCACUGGGGCCUGGGUUGCUGUGCCCCUAAAUGGGCACCCUCUCCACCUGCCUCCCUGGCCCUCAUCCUGCCUUCACUGCCCUCAGCCUCUUUGGCAGAAGUCAGAUGUCACUUGGGAGGGCUGUAGGAACACUGCCACCCCCAGCUGUCCAGCCUCCUCUACACACAGCCUAGGGGAAGCUGGAUGCCCAUCUACACCAGUUUGUCCCCUGCCCUAUGAUGGUGGUGGUGGGGGUUGGGCUUGGAUGCCUAUCUUGGAGAGCAGCAGACAGAGAUCCUUCCUCUGUGGACUCAUCUGGAGCACUGGUUAAAUUUCAGCCCAUCCUACCCCAUCUUACCCCCUCCUGACUUGGCAGGUGCCAGUCCAUCCUCAGCUCUCCCAUUCAGUGGCUGUAGGCUGGGGCAGGGAAUAGUGGCAACAAACAGCUGUAUGGAGAUAAAUACUUUUGAAAGUUACUGCUCUCAGAGACUGGUGCAUAUGGAGAGAGGGGGGAGAGAAAGAGAGAGAGAGAGAGACACUGAGGAAGACUGAGGAUACUAAACAUCACUCUGGUACCUGUGCUUACAGGAUUAAUCUCAGGACCCCAUGCUUGAGAGUCCAAGGCUUUAUCCACUGUGCCACCUCCCGGACUAAGUGCAGAGUUUGUGAAGAGCACUUGUUUUCCCUGAAUGCUGCUGCAGCCCUAAGAGGCAAGUAGGAGUUGUGAAACCACUCUGCAGAUGAAUAACCCAGGGUUCAAGAGGCUCUGUGGUUUGACCAGCCUCAUAUACAAAAGGGUAUAGCUGAUAUUUGAACCCUGGCCUCUCGAUGCCAUGUCUUUCAGCAGGAGUGCAUAUCUCUCCCCUCGGUGAUGAUCUCCGAUGAUAACAGGCCCAGAUUUCCAAAUGCCUUCAGGACACGGGAUCCCAGGCACACAGAUUCAUCCAGCGAAUAUUUAUUGAACACUUGCUCUGUUCCAGGCACAAAAACUAGGCACAGGGGAUCAGUGAUAUGUCCCAUGCUGUUAGGGCUUAGAAUGUGAUGGAGGAGAUAGGUUCCAGCCUGUGCAGGAGGGUCUCACUUCUCCAGUAGCCCAGCCCUGGGCCCUACAGGCAACUUUGAUUGGAAGGCUGGAGACACUGUUUCUAGUCCCAGUGUCCCUUUUCCUCCCUGUGUGGCUUUGAAGUUUCCAUCUGUGGAAUUUGCCAGCACAUAGCUCCACAUACUUUUCCUCAGGUCCCUGCCCUACUCCCAGUAUCUGAAUCAAGUGGUUAAUGAUUUCCUUGCAUGAAUAAUUACCCUGAUGAUUUUCUUUAUGUAAACCUGACUUUUCCUAGGCUCUGAGAAAAAGGGUCUCUCGGCUCACACCCUCCUGGGAGUGGGGACUUGCUCCCUCAGCAGCACACAGCCUGCUCAGAGGUAUACUAGAAAGUAUUCAACAUCUGAUUCUCUGAGUGGAGAGCCAUUUUGUCGAAUUUACUGUUUUCCAUGGUGCAAAGGCUCCCACCAAGGCCAGUUUCAAACCAGCACUAGCACCUAGCGUGCUCAGCUAUGAAGAUUGAGCAAUUGGCCCUUUUGAACCAGUCCUGGCUGGCUCCAACACACCACGGAGUAGCAUUGUUUAGCUCACCUUGCGGAGACCUCCUGGUCUUAAGCCAAACACCUCACUGUCAGGAGCUCAGGUCAGGAAGUUUUGAGGAGCUGGAGGACAAGGGGGACCCUCUGCUCCAUGAAGACCUUCAGAGAAUUGGAAGAAUUGACCCUGUCUCCUUAUGGGGACAGCAGGAGUGGGGGAGGUUCCUGGACCAAGUGGGGUCAGGACAUAUCUCCCCUCCCCCUGCCUCCCACCAAUAUGUUUUGGGUCUCUGAGAUGUUAUAUUCUGCUAAUAUAUGUUAUAUUCUGCUAAGUAUACAGACACAGAGCACCAUGUCUUUGCACACACUGCCCUCACCCCCAGCUGGAACAUCUCCCCACUCAGUCAUCAUCCUCUGAGGCUGCACACAAUUGUCACCGGGUCUUGGAAGCCUUCCCUGACCUCCACCCCCUCCCCUCAGAGUGAAGACCCCCUCCCACACACAAACAAGCCCAAGUCUUUAUCGGUCUCUGUUUGGCACUUAUCACUUUCUACCUUGGAUUACGGCUAUUUGUGUACAUGGCUUAUCUUGCUGCCAGACUGAGCGGCAGCUUGGGCUUGUUGAAAGAGCAUGGACUUUGGAGUCUUAUGACCUGGCCCUGAAUCCCAGCCCUGCCACUUUGAGUUAGGGACAGGGGGUGGGGAGAUGGGCACCAAGGGGGGGGGACUACAUUGCCUGUUGGAGCUUCAAUUUCCUUCUCUGUAAAAUGGGACUGGUUUGCGGGACAGAACUUGGGCCCCACACCUUUAUGUAUCCUUCCAGCGACAGUGGUAACAAUGUGGACAUUAACAACAGCUCACUACAACUACUACACACAGUGCCUGCAGUUGAACUUUUGGCAUUUUCAGUUACCCGUGGUCAGUCAUGGUUGGAAAGUACUAUAUGCAAUAAGAUAUUUUGAGAGACCACAGUCACUUGUGGGCUCUACAGCUUAUCACAGCAUACUGUUACAACGGUUCUAUUUUGUUUUUGCUGUUGCUACUUCCUUACACCUAAUUUACAAAUUACACUUUAGCAUAGAUUAUAUUUUAAUUUCCACCAGGGAUUUUUCUGGGACUUCUCCCCUACAUGAAUCCACCGUGUGGUAAAGUUUGUGAUCUACCUUCUACCGGGUGAGCCAUUUCCCAGCCUCUUAGCAUAGGUGUAUUUGUAUAGGAAAAAAAAAAAAACUUUAAUAUAUAAUGUUUGGUUACUAUCUGUGGCUUUUAGGACCCACUGGAGGCAGAGGGUGGGGGAGGGUAUUGAGACUAUAUUCCUCCCAGACAAGGAAGAGGGCUAUUGUACAGGGUAUGGUUCUAAGAUCUUACAUAUGUUAACUCAUUUCAUUCUUACAACCUUAUUCCCCUUCCUAGGUGAUCAGCUGAGACAGGUUAGACAGCAAACCGAAGGUCACACUGCUGGUGAGUGGAGAACCAAGUUUGGAAUCCAAGACAGUUCAGAGCCGUAGCUGUGGAGCAUUCUAUUACAUGGCCCUGCGGCACCGGCUCGGAGAGGUUCUGGGAGCCACAGGUGUUGGUGUGCCUCUGGUGCACCCCAUCCUGUGAGCACCCUCUCCUUGUCUGUGGACUGGGGCGGCACUGCACAGAGAAGCUCCUGGUCUGAUCUCCCAGUGGGUAAAGUGCUCAGCUCUGAAGAGAGGAGUAUGUUAGGUUGCUGGUGGGCAGGGGGCCAAGAGUCCACUAGUGGAUAAGGCAGUCAGAGAAGCUUCAAGGACAGGCAUGAUAGCUCGAUUGGAUAGUGUGCCUGCUUUGGUAUGCACGCAGCCCAGCUUCUAGUCUUGCCCUUAGGCAGGGCUGGAAGAAGCUUUGGUGCUUUGGUGUGUUGGGAUCUUUCCAACUCUCUCCCUCUGUCCUGCCACUAUCUGGGAAAAAGGAAGUCUGCUAGGGGCUGUCAAGCCCCAGCAUCAACAAAGAAGAAACAAACAAAACAACGACUACAGAGAAGGCUUCCUGAAAGAGGUGGCAUCUGCAGUGGUCCUUGACAGCUGAGGAUUUAGACCAGAAUGGAUGAGGCACAGAGAAGCAAAGAAGCAGGGGUGCAGGGGUACCUUCAAGGGUUAAAUGUCAAGACUUGCCGUUUCCCCCAGUUCUGGUGGGUGCUUAGAGACCAUGCACAUGUGGAGAGUUGUGCUGGUGAUACAGCCUGUGAAUCAGGGACAUCUGAGGAGUGGUUCCAGGGGCUUUGGAAGCUAGUGCAGAUCCUCUGAAGAGCUGAGAGCCAAUGGGGCUGUGCCAGAGGCAAGGGGGCUGUUUUACCCUUCUCUGUCCUGGCUUCCUGACUCCUGGUCUCCUCUGGCCGUGUCCCUCCCUUCUUCAUGCCUGCUUUCCCCAUCUGCAGAAGGGCCCCAGGCAUAGACCUUUCAGUCUUUACAGGGGCAGGCAGAGCUGCUGGGGGGUGAGGGUAGAAUGCUGUUACUCCAGGGCAGGAAGUAUGUGUGGGGGUGGUGGUGGUGGUGGUGGUGCUUGGUAGAAAGUGGAAUGCUGGAAGUGGGGGUGGGGGUGGGGGUGGGAGGUGGGGAGGUGGGGAGCCCUGUGUGCAGUGGGGAGCCAGUGAGCACCAAGACUGCAACUGCCAGUUGGCUCUGGCUGUCCUCAUGAUUCCCCCUGCACCACAUGCUUCAUUGUCCAGGCCCUGCCACGGGCUGCCCAGCUCUGCUGUCUUCAGAGCAGCCUUCCUCCCAGGCUCCUGCCAAGACAGGCUCCUGGCAGGCUCUGGGCUGACCCUGCUCCUCCCACCCGCCAGCAGGUGCUGCCCCACCACGCCCCCUCCAGGUAGUAGGGAAUCCUUCUCAAGCAAUACAUUGUGAGCCAGGGGCUGCUUUAAAUGCUUCCUGUUUAUUGACUAAUUUAAUCCUCACAAACAGUGAGUGUCCCUCUCCCUUCGGAUAAGGAAACUGAAUCAUGGAGAGGCUUUGCAAUGCGGUCUCACUACAGUUGGAUGGCAGAGUAUGUGAAGCCCCCAGAUCAAGCUGUUAACUCCAGUCCCCUGACACAUCUUCCUUCUCAUUCUAAGUCCUUGCGAGACUCCUCUACCCACACAUGCACCCCUAUGUCCCUACUCAUUGGACACCAGGGUCAACCAGGCUCACAGUUAAUAGAUUCACAGAUGUGUGGAGGUGCUAUGCCCACCCUGCACAGGCACAAAGGCAUACAUAUACACAAAUGCACACAUACAUGCUUUCCUCUCCUGUGUCCUUGAGUGGUUGGGUGGGCUCAUGGUACCGUAUGCCCUCCUUGGCCCACACCCGGCAUCCAGCCUUUGUGAAUGCCAUUAUGGCCCAUGUCUUUUCGUUCCUGUCCAUUCAAGUCCAAGGUUCCGGAAUGUGAGCAGUGCAGCCACUUUCACUGCACUCUUGCUCCAGAACAAGAAGUAAGUAUCCCUGAGCCUCAGGGAUAAGGCAGGGGCUAGAGAGUGGAUGGUUACCCUUCCCCCAAUGCCUUGGGAGGCAGAAGGAACAGCAGGAAGAGGAAAGUGAAUUAAUCCUGGCCUCCCCUCCUCUGGACUCUCUGCGAUGCUAAUUCUCCUUGCCUUUGAUCUGUGCUUCCCUACCACUCCAGCCCAGGCCCCUAACUCUGAUCAGGACUGGAUUUUGGGCCUGGUUUGAGAUUAGGGGUGCCCGGAGUGCACCCUGGGCCUAGCCCUGUGAGGCAGAUUGAGGUUUCUUUCCUGGAGUGAUGUCUUGGGAAUUAGAAUCCUGGUUACUGACCCCCAGCGUAUGCAAAACACUUGCCUUUACUAGAACUCUGUCUGAUGUCUGUAAAAGUGGUUGGGGUUCCCAUUUGACUCAGAAGCAGAGUGAGGAAUGGGGGCUUUGGUGGUGAAUGGAUUCCAGAGACUUCCUGACCAGUGAACAGUGGGUCUGAACACAGAACACAGAGCUUCCAACCCCAGUCCACCCUGCUUCCACUGAGAGGCUGUUUGUUCUGGUGGGUUUCAAGCAAACACAACUUCUGUGUCAGGAGCCAUGUUCAGAGGGCAUCCUCUCAUCCAGUGCCCCCACUAGUGCCUCCAACAUGUGGAAGCUGCCACGGUAACCAAGCUGCCACAGUGAAGUCUGGAUUCAAACCAAAUACCAAGCUGCUCACUUUUCAAAGGGGACACAAAGACUCAGGAAGGAAAAGUGAUGUGCCGAAGCCAAGCUGGCUGUGCAUUCAUCCCCUACCAUCCCAACCUUAUUCUGGAAAAAUCCAGAAUCCCCGAUGGGCGAGUGGAGCUGUGAGCAGAAUCCUGGCCAGGCCCCUAUUAGGGUGCCAAACUCAGGUAAUCACACAGAGGCAUUGCAGCCAACCUCGCCCCACAACAUCCCCAUAAACAUGGGCAUAAACACCAUUAAAACUUUUAUUACGCUGUAUUUCAUGCAUAAAAGACCAUUUGUGAGCUAUGGAACAAGUGAAAAUAAAUGCUCAUGACCAUCGUACUUAAAAAUCAGGAAGACAGGUGGGGAAGUGUUGGGUAUGCAAAUAGACUCUUAUGCCUGAGGCUCCUAAGUCCCAGGUUCAAUUCCCCAUACCAUCAUAAGCCAGAGCUGAGAAGUGCUCUGGUGUUUCUCUCUGUCUGUCUUUCUGCAUCUCAAUAAAAUAAAAUUUUUUUUUAAAAAAGAAUGUUUAAAAAAAUAAAGAAAUUAAUCUUGAAAAAAAAAAAAACCAGGAAGACACUAGGGAGCUCGGACCCUCGUGUGGGGUUGGUUCCCUGUGCCAACGGGAUUUUGGAGAUACUGAGAUACAGAGAACGUGCAUUCUUCAAAGGUGAUGAGGGGGAGAUCUGAAGAGAGACUUGUACCCCCAUCCACCCCUCCUCUACAAGGGCUUCCUUCUGACCAUUUACCACAUUAGGGUUCCUUGCACCCAACUCCCCUUUCUGUACUUUCACUGCACAGAGAGCUCUGAAACAGGACACUCCUUCCUGGUGCAGUCAGCAGAGGCAGGGUUGGUGAUCUGGCAGGUGAGCAUCCUCCCAAGCAAGGCCUGCUGCCAAAUCUUUGCACAGGUUGUUCCUACCACCUGGAAUGCCUUACCCACCCAUUCUGCUCAGGAAACCUAGCUCCUUUUAGGUCCAGCUCUAUAAAGUUUCAUGUCCCCCAUACCCCAUAGGGGAGGCAGAGCUAUGGAGGAGGGGAACAAGACUUUCUCCAUGACUUCUUCACUUCUAUCCCAGAGUUGCAUAUUGCCCACCUCAAAAUAGCCAGAGUCCUUGUCUGUUGACCCUCUGCCAGCCCUAUAGGGCAUGUAGCUACAGAUAUAUAUAUAUAUAUUUUUUUUUGCCUCUAGGGUUAUUGCUGUGGCUCAGUGCAGGCACUACAAAUCCACUGCUCCUGGCAGACAUUUAUUUCCAUUUUUUAAAAAAGUAGUGGAUAAGACAGAGAGAAAUUGAGAAGCGAGGGGGGAGAGAGAAAGACAAACACCUGUAGACUUGCUUCACCACUUGUGAAGCAUCCCCCUGCAGGUGAGGAGCUCGAACUCAGAUCCUUGCACGGGUCCUUGUGCUUAGUACUAUGGGUGCUUAGCUGAGUGCACCACCACCUGGCCCCCUUCUUAUUUUUAUUAAUUAAUCUGAUUGCCACCAGGGUUAUUGCUGGAGUUUGGUGCCUACACAGCUGAUCCACUGCUCUUUGUGGUCAUUUCCACCCCCUUUUCUUUCUUUUUCCUUUUUGACAGAUACAAAUUGAGAGGGAAGGGAAGGAGGAGGUAGAGAGGGAGAGAGAAUAAGACACACCUACAGCACUACAUUUGUGAAGCUUCUUACCUGUAGGUGAGGACUGGGUGCUUGAAACCAGGACCUUGCACAUGAUAACCUCAACCAGGUGUGUCACUACUCAAGAUUAUUCUUUAUCCCCAGGUCCUAGGCACAGCCAGGCACCAGAGUGGGGCAGACACUCCUCAAAGGAGCAAGGCAGAAUGUGGGUGAAGGUGACAUGAAGUGGGCCUCCCCUUGGGACUCCAUGGGCCAGGCCUUCCAAAGUCCCAGCCUAUGUGCCCCAAGAUCUGCCAGGAAAUUUGGAGGCAAAGCUGGCAGGAGACCACUCAGGACGUCAGGCUGCUGCACACCUAGCUGUGAUGUGGAUGACGUGUGUGUGCUAGACACUUGGGCAGGCCAGUCGGUGUGUCAGGUGGGUGUGAUGGGAGGUCACACGUGGAAGCUUACACACACACUUGUGCAAGCAUGUGGUCCCAAGUGCACAAGCAGCCCUGUGAGCAUCUUUGGCAAUUCCCUUUUCCUGGCACCAUUCCCUCUGACACGUGCCUGCUUUCUCUCAGAGUGUCACAGAGCACACUUGUAACAAAAGGAUUGCAAUGGGCAAAACCUGAGGGUUUGCCAGAGGUGUGUGGGAGACGGCUGGUCCCUGAGGGGAAAGGAGUGACAUGACUCUCACACUGUCACCUGGCUCUGCUCUCCCAUGUCCACAAGCCUUAAAGAACUAGCUGCCUCUGCCUCUACUUCCCAGAUGAGUCCCUUGAGGUCACCUGUGGACCAGCCAGUAGUGAGACAAGAUGAUGAAAUCAGAGGCCCAUGCUUCGAUUCUCACUUUGAGAGCCAGGAAC
This is a long non-coding RNA of Erinaceus europaeus (western European hedgehog), 13350 nucleotides long. RefSeq lists it as uncharacterized. The transcript has 2 exons. The record is from RefSeq and is a predicted model, not a curated record. NCBI's taxonomy places the organism in Eukaryota, Metazoa, Chordata, Mammalia, Eulipotyphla, Erinaceidae.